RNAcentral lists this ribosomal RNA (486 nucleotides) under Triticum aestivum (bread wheat). RNAcentral's name for it is "partial small subunit ribosomal RNA". Lineage: Eukaryota; Viridiplantae; Streptophyta; Magnoliopsida; Poales; Poaceae. The record is from RNAcentral.
AUGGAUUUUCUCGACAGUGCUAUGUUUUACUACGAAGCACGGGGUGGAGAGGUCAGGGACAAGAAGAGAAGGGGCGGCAGGCUCGCCUUCGGCCAUAAGACCGACUUCUGUUGCAUCCAGCAACCGAGUGGUUCUCUUAAUGAUGGAUUCUAUGUCCUACACCACAUGCUGGAGUACAGACGGGAUCACCAGAACCUUUGCAUGUCACCUACAUCCGGCGAUGCCCAUAUUCUGCAAUGGGCAAAGAACGUAGGAGAUAUCGAGGAUCAUCGACUUCGAGCCGAGUUCUAUCACAUCCAGCGCGAACUUUCCCAAAUCAUCAUGAAGGAGGUCGUCGGAAAAACAGAGAUGUUCUACGAAGAAGGACAAAUGUCGCGGGAAGACGUCCGAACACAGGUAGCCUCUCAGCGUCUCGAUGUGAAGCCUUUCACUAGGCUCGGGGACUAUCUCCCUGACUUGGAUGGAUGGCACGACAUGUUGGAGUGA